GAAUAAGGUCACAUUUAUAGGUUCCAUAAAUUGGGUCAUGGGCAUGUCUUUGGGGGGGGUAUCAUUUAAUGCACCACAAGCAUCUUGAAAUUAUUCCUAAUUCUGGGGAAUAGGCCACAGUCAUGCUGGGGGCUUUGGGAGCCAGUGUUGCUCAAGUUUUCCUAUCUAUCGUAGUCUGGAUGUUGUUCCAUCAAAUGCCCCGAGGGAGGCAUAAGCUGUGUCUAACCUGCCCGUGGUGGCUCCAAGUCAUGCUGGAAUUAUGUUUCUUACCUUUGGUGAAGGACACAUGUGCACUACUGUGGAGAAACUCCUCGGCUAACUUUCCUUAACACACUUAAGACUUAAGGUCAAGUAUGGCCUUGACUGGGAGGAAGGGGAGGUACAGCCAUGAAAGCUCUGUGAGCACAAAUCAGACCUGCAGGUGGCAAAGGGAAGAAAUGAGCUCCCUACAUAUUACUGAUAUUGAGGAAUUCAGUAGGAAAUUGCUAAGCAGCUAAGUUUGUGUGUGGUCAGGAGGGGAGGUUUUCCUUUGCUAAAAGAAUAUUAUAUGUUCGGUUAGGAUAGAGAAGGUCUCCAGCAUGACAGGGAACCCGAGUUUCUGUGCAUCCCUGCCUGAUACUCAGCAGAUGGGAUCCUUACACCCCCAUCUGUCCAAGAAUCUCCAAGGUCAAAUCGCACUCUGAGAGUCUAAGAAUCAUCAGAGUGCAUCAGUGUGUGUUGCCAAUUCUGUGGAUCUGUGAUUAUCUUUCUCAGAGCAGGAUACAUAGAGGCCUUGGAUGUUCCCAUGGUAGAAUAAGCAUCGGCUGAGAGCCUUCCAUUAAGUGAAUAAUAUUGUAGACCAAAGAGAUCAUGUAGAACAUACAGACAGAAGCAGAAGAAAUGGGGCUUCUGUUAUUUUGCUUGUCUCAUCACGGCCCAAGUUUGGGGGAGUUCUACUCCCGCCCUGUGUUUGUCUCAACCAUAGGAAGAGGCUCUCAGAUAAGCAUCUCCUUUCCUGCUGAGAACCAGAAACCACCUGAGCCACAAGAAGGUUAAAAAUCAAGGAGUUUUGUGAGUAGAGACUUUCAUGGGGAGAUAAGCCACAGUUGAGUGGGGGAAAUGCCAGGAUCUAGUUCCAGUUGGUACAAAAGCAAACCUAACACUUGCGAUCCAGCUAAGUUUCCUGCUGGAGAAACAUGGAAUUCAUGGGGAGUGUUUGCAGAGAAAGGAGCAGACUUUAUGCAGACACCUAUUUUAAGUUCACAAGUGAAGAUAUAUGUUUGGUUCACACAUUUUUAAAUCCAGAGCUCAAGAAAGGCCACAGGUGUUACUUAACACCUGAUGAAACUUGCUGUAAUCUUGAACUUCUGGUCUAGAAAGGGCUAAAAUUAGCUAAGGAGUAAAGUGUUUAUAGAGGGAACUUAGAAACCUACCUCUUUGCCACAUAUUGUAUCCCAUUAAAUUGGAUUUUUAUAAUGAAUCAUUUUCCUUGUGGUAAUGACACCUAGGACGUUAGGCUUUAUUAGUUCAAUAACAUUCUGUGCCUUUAGAACAAUUACCAUCAAAUAGCAAUGUGAACUUUCAGCUGCGACUCAGAUGGCUGUAGCCGUAGUUGGAAGGCCAAGCCAUAUGCAGCUGUCACUAGCAACUAAGCAAUGCUUCCCUCCCUAGAGGGCACAGACAGCCUUAUUAUCUGGAUGAGACAACAUGUAGGAAAGGCAAUGCAGUGAGUGAGUCAGUGAGUCUUAUUUA
This is a long non-coding RNA of Octodon degus (degu), 1731 nucleotides long. RefSeq lists it as uncharacterized. NCBI's taxonomy places the organism in Eukaryota, Metazoa, Chordata, Mammalia, Rodentia, Octodontidae. The record is from RefSeq and is a predicted model, not a curated record. The transcript has 3 exons.